AAAGCUGGAGCUAUGAAUCUAAGCUUAGCCCUUUUUACUGCUUUAUUCCUUAUUCUUUUUAGGGAACACUAAUAUAACGUGAUCAUGAAUUCAUAAGCUUCCCACACAGUGGAGUAUCCCUGGUCUUAUAACUUUCUGAGCUCCAUAAAGAGAAAUGGCAAAGUAAUAGUGUUAAUAAGGCAAAUUCAAAGCCAGAUUCAUAGGGUGAUUUGUGCUUUUUAUUUCUAAGCUGUGUUUUAUCUCUAUCUCUACUCUCUACCACCUAAAAGAACCGUAAGGUUCCGUUUUCCCUCAUACGCCCUUCGUUUCGUCCGCCUUCGUCCAUCGUCGAUUAAGUUUUUUUUUUUCACGCGCAAUCGUCCCUGCCGAAAACGUCGGGAUGCAAUCCCAUCUAGCACCGAUCCACUCCGUCCUGACAGGCUCGGCGCUGCCUCCUCCCCUCCCAAGCACAGCCGCCGCUACACACCCCAUCAGAGUACACCUCCCAUACCCCCUCUCUCUCUUGGAGCCGCCGCCGCUCCCCAUCCACCCGGCGUGCAUCGGAUCGACCUUGUUCCCUCUCCUUGCAACGUGGGAUAUGGAAGGGGUCGCCUGUCGGGCACCAAUCUGAUGGGGGCGUGGUCAUCUACCUCCUCCUCUCUCCCCACGUUGGUCCAGCCUGUCUUCUCUACCAGAUCUGGCGGCCGCGUCGGCGAAACUGCUGGCAGUGAGACGGUUCGCGGGUGUGCGAUAGAAAACAUCGGCCGGUCGUCUUCGAGUCCGCCUACCACGGCGAUCCCGCAGUACAGCCUCCCCGCCUCCAAGAUGUGGCCUGGACAAGGCCGUCUUCUCCUUUCCUCCGUGGCGUCCAAUGAAGAGCUACACCAACGUGGCACCACAUGUGUGUUGUACCUUCGCCCCGCGGCCCUUCUGUGCUGGGAUGAGGCAGCGUUUGUCUGUAGCACUCCAUGUCCCACAUCAACAUUCCUUUCUUACUUAGUGUUGUACAAGUGAUGCAAUCAGGAUUUGCUGGUUUUUGAACAUAUCCCUGAUGGAGUGAAAGGGACGGAAGAAUUGGAAAUACAAUGAGGUAAUAUUUCUGUACAGGAUAAUUGCUUGAGUUUUUUCCUCUUCUCUAAUCAAGUCGAUUGCUGUGUUACAAGGUACGUAGAUGGUUACAGGUGCAGCUACAUCUGAAAAUUUCAUUCUUAAACGUCAAAUAAAGCAACCAAAUAUUUAAUUUGUUCCCUAAUGAUCAUAUUUGGUGUUAUUUCUUUAGGAUGGUGCAUGGAGAACAUGCUCUGUUGCCAUCUUCAUCCGCGAAUUGGCUCCCAAAUCUAAAAGGUGUGGUUGCCGAAACAUGAGUCUAACAAGGCGCGGCUGCUGAACCAGGAGAACCGCAGACCUGGUCACAAUGAAUGAGUUUGAGACAAACCUUGUGUCAUGUGUUAUCGCACUCAGAUAUCGGAGCCUUGGAGAAUGUAAAAGAAAUGUUAAACGGGUAGAUGUGGCCCCUCUAAACUUACCUGAAUUGUUCAGCAAAGGUCCGCAAUUAAUGGUACCCAUCUACAUUCAGUAGGGCGAGUUGGUCUUGCUAUAUUGCAUUCAGGCAUAGUGUUGAUAUUUCAUCAAAAAUAAGUUCAAGCAUGAUAUUUAAGAUCAA
This is a long non-coding RNA of Aegilops tauschii subsp. strangulata, 1642 nucleotides long. RefSeq lists it as uncharacterized. Lineage: Eukaryota; Viridiplantae; Streptophyta; Magnoliopsida; Poales; Poaceae. The record is from RefSeq and is a predicted model, not a curated record.